Long non-coding RNA from Chinchilla lanigera (long-tailed chinchilla), 787 nucleotides. RefSeq lists it as uncharacterized. NCBI's taxonomy places the organism in Eukaryota, Metazoa, Chordata, Mammalia, Rodentia, Chinchillidae. The record is from RefSeq and is a predicted model, not a curated record. The transcript has 3 exons.
UCUGCCCCCCAAGCACCAACUGUGCAGGCUCGGUGCUCGAGAGCAUUUCCGCUGCCCGCUCUCUGCCUCGUUUUCCCCUCUUGCUGGCUCUGAUUUCUUCACCACCGUGCACACCAGGGGCGGAGGCUCGUCUUCACAGUGGUUGGAAGGAAUCCUUCUUCUUUCGCUCUCCUCAGUUUCGUCCAUGCCUUAAUCUUCAAACAGAAUCAAAUACUCAUUGCCACGGGGUGAGCCCGGGCUGGAAGGGCCCAGGGUUUCUAAGAGCAGGUCUUGCUGUACUGAGGGGGACCCAGCGAGUCUCUCAGCGAGCCUGACGCUAAAUCAUCAGGCUCAAUGAACUCAUUUCAAAGAAAUAUGCAGGUGCUGUUUGACCUUCAGACAUGUGGACUGGCAGAGCAAGUGAAAGUCUCAGCUGCUCCCGUAAUGUGAACUGGACAGGUGGGAUUGCAUCCCUGGUAACCAGCGCUGUGACAGUCUGCCUCAGGGUGGACCCAGGAAGCUCGUUAGACCUAGCUGUCCGCUCAAGUAACUGAAAUGACUAGGGAAAAUUCAGAGGAGAAAAUGGAAGCGAUUCCGUGAGACUCAGUGACCCACACUCAGAUGGCAUCCUGAGCUGUAUGCUGGGUUACCAAGUGACAGUGAAUGUACUGUGCUCAGAAGCGAAGCGAGGCUCCUCCUGGCCUCUCUGCUACAAACCUCACGAAGACCCCGUGGCGUCCUCAGGCCUGGUGCUCCAGCUGCUGCAUCGGACCGGCAGGAGGGUGCAAGGUCCUAGGAGGACAGUGGA